AUGUGGUAGGCACGCGCGCUGAGCAGCGCUUCCGGCGGAACUCUUUCUGCCAAACACAGCGGGCGUGACUACGCAUGAGCUGCAGAACCACUCUCUGUUCGAACGAACAUAACUUUCUCGAGAGGUCGUCUAAAGUUGGGCAAAUUUUUUAAAAACUUACUCGACAUAUUUGUCGUUUCAAUUCCAUUCCAUUUUUUUUUUGACCGUGCGGUAUUCACCGAAAUUUAUUCGGCAAAAACUUCGGUCGUCAAAAACCACUUUGCAGAUUUUAAGAUUUUUUCAGCAUGCCUCCAAAGAAACCUGGGGCAAUGGUUGAAUUCAUUGCUGAGAAAUAUGGCAACAUCCCAGAUGCUCCACCAUUGAGGAAUGGGCAUGUGCUAAACAUUUUCUUCCAGCAAAAGCGUAAAGUUACGCAGACCAUCCAGGAAAUAUCCAAGAUCUUAGGAUCAAAUGUCGUAGUGAAACCAUGGCAGAUUAAUUAUUUGCUGAAAAAAACAAUAAGAAAAUACCCACAUUUCACACGUGAAAGUGAUAAGCAGCAUUUUCAUGAUGUGUGUGACCAAGAAUUUACUUGCCACACCUCAGCUCAGCCUUCACCUGAGGCCCCAUCAGUUUCUGAUAAAUUUAAAUUGUCUCAUCCAUCUACAUCUCAAUAAUAGAAGAAAAGUUAUGUUUAUGCGAUCAUUUGGAAAUAAAUAUAGAUUUGACAGAAGA
Molecule: long non-coding RNA, 714 nt
Organism: Oryzias latipes (Japanese medaka)
Lineage: Eukaryota; Metazoa; Chordata; Actinopteri; Beloniformes; Adrianichthyidae
Source: RefSeq, a predicted model, not a curated record